RNAcentral lists this unclassified non-coding RNA (314 nucleotides) under plant metagenome. Its description in RNAcentral is "partial contains small subunit ribosomal RNA and internal transcribed spacer 1". The stretch from base 1 to 46 matches the Rfam family "Eukaryotic small subunit ribosomal RNA", at positions 1786 to 1831 of the family's 1831-position model. The record is from RNAcentral.
AAGUCGUAACAAGGUUUCCGUAGGUGAACCUGCGGAAGGAUCAUUAUCACGUAUCCACGUAUAAACCAUUGUGAACCGUACCACCCUUUGGGAGAGAUGAGUUAGUGUUCAAUCAUACUACAUGAACUCUUUAUUGUGAUUUAUAGUUCAUUUGAUUGAGCCUCGGGGUUCCUUCGGAGCUUCCGUACUUUCUUUCCUAGAGGUGUAUUUCUAUAAAUCGCUUGAUUAACAAUUUGAACAAACCUUUAAAACUUUGAACUGACUUGUUUCUUACUCCUCUAACCGGGAGAAGAAAUUCAUUACGAAACAAAGAA